This 2924-nucleotide ribosomal RNA is filed under the name Escherichia coli. RNAcentral's name for it is "partial 23S ribosomal RNA". It matches the Rfam family "Bacterial large subunit ribosomal RNA". The record is from RNAcentral. Lineage: Bacteria; Pseudomonadati; Pseudomonadota; Gammaproteobacteria; Enterobacterales; Enterobacteriaceae.
GGGUUGUGAGGUUAAGCGACUAAGCGUACACGGUGGAUGCCCUGGCAGUCAGAGGCGAUGAAGGACGUGCUAAUCUGCGAUAAGCGUCGGUAAGGUGAUAUGAACCGUUAUAACCGGCGAUUUCCGAAUGGGGAAACCCAGUGUGAUUCGUCACACUAUCAUUAACUGAAUCCAUAGGUUAAUGAGGCGAACCGGGGGAACUGAAACAUCUAAGUACCCCGAGGAAAAGAAAUCAACCGAGAUUCCCCCAGUAGCGGCGAGCGAACGGGGAGCAGCCCAGAGCCUGAAUCAGUGUGUGUGUUAGUGGAAGCGUCUGGAAAGGCGCGCGAUACAGGGUGACAGCCCCGUACACAAAAAUGCACAUGCUGUGAGCUCGAUGAGUAGGGCGGGACACGUGGUAUCCUGUCUGAAUAUGGGGGGACCAUCCUCCAAGGCUAAAUACUCCUGACUGACCGAUAGUGAACCAGUACCGUGAGGGAAAGGCGAAAAGAACCCCGGCGAGGGGAGUGAAAAAGAACCUGAAACCGUGUACGUACAAGCAGUGGGAGCACGCUUAGGCGUGUGACUGCGUACCUUUUGUAUAAUGGGUCAGCGACUUAUAUUCUGUAGCAAGGUUAACCGAAUAGGGGAGCCGAAGGGAAACCGAGUCUUAACUGGGCGUUAAGUUGCAGGGUAUAGACCCGAAACCCGGUGAUCUAGCCAUGGGCAGGUUGAAGGUUGGGUAACACUAACUGGAGGACCGAACCGACUAAUGUUGAAAAAUUAGCGGAUGACUUGUGGCUGGGGGUGAAAGGCCAAUCAAACCGGGAGAUAGCUGGUUCUCCCCGAAAGCUAUUUAGGUAGCGCCUCGUGAAUUCAUCUCCGGGGGUAGAGCACUGUUUCGGCAAGGGGGUCAUCCCGACUUACCAACCCGAUGCAAACUGCGAAUACCGGAGAAUGUUAUCACGGGAGACACACGGCGGGUGCUAACGUCCGUCGUGAAGAGGGAAACAACCCAGACCGCCAGCUAAGGUCCCAAAGUCAUGGUUAAGUGGGAAACGAUGUGGGAAGGCCCAGACAGCCAGGAUGUUGGCUUAGAAGCAGCCAUCAUUUAAAGAAAGCGUAAUAGCUCACUGGUCGAGUCGGCCUGCGCGGAAGAUGUAACGGGGCUAAACCAUGCACCGAAGCUGCGGCAGCGACACUAUGUGUUGUUGGGUAGGGGAGCGUUCUGUAAGCCUGUGAAGGUGUACUGUGAGGUAUGCUGGAGGUAUCAGAAGUGCGAAUGCUGACAUAAGUAACGAUAAAGCGGGUGAAAAGCCCGCUCGCCGGAAGACCAAGGGUUCCUGUCCAACGUUAAUCGGGGCAGGGUGAGUCGACCCCUAAGGCGAGGCCGAAAGGCGUAGUCGAUGGGAAACAGGUUAAUAUUCCUGUACUUGGUGUUACUGCGAAGGGGGGACGGAGAAGGCUAUGUUGGCCGGGCGACGGUUGUCCCGGUUUAAGCGUGUAGGCUGGUUUUCCAGGCAAAUCCGGAAAAUCAAGGCUGAGGCGUGAUGACGAGGCACUACGGUGCUGAAGCAACAAAUGCCCUGCUUCCAGGAAAAGCCUCUAAGCAUCAGGUAACAUCAAAUCGUACCCCAAACCGACACAGGUGGUCAGGUAGAGAAUACCAAGGCGCUUGAGAGAACUCGGGUGAAGGAACUAGGCAAAAUGGUGCCGUAACUUCGGGAGAAGGCACGCUGAUAUGUAGGUGAAGUCCCUCGCGGAUGGAGCUGAAAUCAGUCGAAGAUACCAGCUGGCUGCAACUGUUUAUUAAAAACACAGCACUGUGCAAACACGAAAGUGGACGUAUACGGUGUGACGCCUGCCCGGUGCCGGAAGGUUAAUUGAUGGGGUUAGCGCAAGCGAAGCUCUUGAUCGAAGCCCCGGUAAACGGCGGCCGUAACUAUAACGGUCCUAAGGUAGCGAAAUUCCUUGUCGGGUAAGUUCCGACCUGCACGAAUGGCGUAAUGAUGGCCAGGCUGUCUCCACCCGAGACUCAGUGAAAUUGAACUCGCUGUGAAGAUGCAGUGUACCCGCGGCAAGACGGAAAGACCCCGUGAACCUUUACUAUAGCUUGACACUGAACAUUGAGCCUUGAUGUGUAGGAUAGGUGGGAGGCUUUGAAGUGUGGACGCCAGUCUGCAUGGAGCCGACCUUGAAAUACCACCCUUUAAUGUUUGAUGUUCUAACGUGGACCCGUAAUCCGGGUUGCGGACAGUGUCUGGUGGGUAGUUUGACUGGGGCGGUCUCCUCCUAAAGAGUAACGGAGGAGCACGAAGGUUGGCUAAUCCUGGUCGGACAUCAGGAGGUUAGUGCAAUGGCAUAAGCCAGCUUGACUGCGAGCGUGACGGCGCGAGCAGGUGCGAAAGCAGGUCAUAGUGAUCCGGUGGUUCUGAAUGGAAGGGCCAUCGCUCAACGGAUAAAAGGUACUCCGGGGAUAACAGGCUGAUACCGCCCAAGAGUUCAUAUCGACGGCGGUGUUUGGCACCUCGAUGUCGGCUCAUCACAUCCUGGGGCUGAAGUAGGUCCCAAGGGUAUGGCUGUUCGCCAUUUAAAGUGGUACGCGAGCUGGGUUUAGAACGUCGUGAGACAGUUCGGUCCCUAUCUGCCGUGGGCGCUGGAGAACUGAGGGGGGCUGCUCCUAGUACGAGAGGACCGGAGUGGACGCAUCACUGGUGUUCGGGUUGUCAUGCCAAUGGCACUGCCCGGUAGCUAAAUGCGGAAGAGAUAAGUGCUGAAAGCAUCUAAGCACGAAACUUGCCCCGAGAUGAGUUCUCCCUGACUCCUUGAGAGUCCUGAAGGAACGUUGAAGACGACGACGUUGAUAGGCCGGGUGUGUAAGCGCAGCGAUGCGUUGAGCUAACCGGUACUAAUGAACCGUGAGGCUUAACCUUACAACGCCGAAG